UAUCUCCACCUGUGUUUACCUGUUAUGUUGCCAUAGGAACUCCCACCUUGAAAGCCCAUUGGCCAACGUGUGGAGGUAGCUGCAGGUGAGGGAGUGCAAGUGCGUGGGAGGAAGAAAGAAAUUUACAGAGUGAGGAGGGGCCGUCUGUAACAGAAGAACAAACAUCCAAAUAUAGGAGGGAAACAAUAGAGCAAUAAAUGUAUAGAAGACCAGUCCCCUGUUCCUGCUGAACUGAGCCAGCCGACGUCACACACUGAUUAUCAGCACAGCAGGCACAGGAGCCCGACCCAGCAGGGGGUGAGGAGGGGGCAGACAGAGGCUUCAGCCUCAUGUCACCCUCCUCCAGCUCAAUUUUCGCCUUCUAUUGCCCAAUUUGGCCUAUACCAACACUCCCAGAGGGGGAACCAGACAGGACGGCGGACAGGAAGACGGACACAGCCGGCCCUGAACUGUAGCUG
Long non-coding RNA from Toxotes jaculatrix (banded archerfish), 458 nucleotides. RefSeq lists it as uncharacterized. Lineage: Eukaryota; Metazoa; Chordata; Actinopteri; Toxotidae. The transcript has 3 exons. The record is from RefSeq and is a predicted model, not a curated record.